Molecule: ribosomal RNA, 450 nt
Filed under: uncultured bacterium
Lineage: Bacteria
Description: partial 16S ribosomal RNA
Rfam family: Bacterial small subunit ribosomal RNA
Source: RNAcentral
GUGGGGAAUAUUGGACAAUGGGCGAAAGCCUGAUCCAGCCAUGCCGCGUGUGUGAAGAAGGUCUUCGGAUUGUAAAGCACUUUAAGUUGGGAGGAAGGGCAGUAAGUUAAUACCUUGCUGUUUUGACGUUACCGACAGAAUAAGCACCGGCUAACUUCGUGCCAGCAGCCGCGGUAAUACGAAGGGUGCAAGCGUUAAUCGGAAUUACUGGGCGUAAAGCGCGCGUAGGUGGUUUUGUAAGUUGGAAGUGAAAUCCCCGGGCUCAACCUGGGAACUGCUUUCAAAACUGCUGAGCUAGAGUACGGUAGAGGGUGGUGGAAUUUCCUGUGUAGCGGUGAAAUGCGUAGAUAUAGGAAGGAACACCAGUGGCGAAGGCGACCACCUGGACUGAUACUGACACUGAGGUGCGAAAGCGUGGGGAGCAAACAGGAUUAGAAACCCCGGUAGUCC